GACGAACGCUGGCGGCGUGCCUAAUACAUGCAAGUAGAACGCAGUGGGGACGGGUGAGUAACACGUGGGUAACCUCCCAUCAGAGGGGAUAACACUUUGAAACAGGUGCUAAACCGAUACUGAUGGAUGGACCCGCGGGGCAUUAGCUAGUUGGUGAGGUAACGGCUCACCAAGGCCACGAGGCAUAGGCGACCUGGUAGGUGUAUCGGCCACACUGGUAUUGAGACCCGGCCCUGACUCCUUCGGGAUGCAGAAGUAGGGAAUCUUCGGCCAUGGACGAAAGUCUGUCCGAGCACCGCCGCGUGAGUGAAGAAGGUUUUCGGAUCGUAAAACUCUGUUGUUAGAGAAGCGGUAUCUAACCGGAAAGCCAGGGCUAACUACGUGCCAGCAGCCGCGGUAAUAC
RNAcentral lists this ribosomal RNA (403 nucleotides) under uncultured bacterium. Its description in RNAcentral is "partial 16S ribosomal RNA". It matches the Rfam family "Bacterial small subunit ribosomal RNA", at positions 28 to 526 of the family's 1533-position model. The record is from RNAcentral.